Molecule: ribosomal RNA, 468 nt
Filed under: uncultured bacterium
Lineage: Bacteria
Description: partial 16S ribosomal RNA
Rfam family: Bacterial small subunit ribosomal RNA
Source: RNAcentral
GACGAACGCUGGCGGCGUGCUUAACACAUGCGAGUCGAACGGAAAGGCCCUGCUUUUGUGGGGUGCUCGAGUGGCGAACGGGUGAGUAACACGUGAGUAACCUGCCCUUGACUUUGGGAUAACUUCAGGAAACUGGGGCUAAUACCGGCUAGGAGCUCCUGCUGCAUGGUGGGGGUUGGAAAGUUUGGGCGGUUGGGGAUGGACUCGCGGCUUAUCAGCUUGUUGGUGGGGUAGUGGCUUACCAAGGCUUUGACGGGUAGCCGGCCUGAGAGGGUGACCGGCCACAUUGGGACUGAGAUACGGCCCAGACUCCUACGGGAGGCAGCAGUGGGGAAUAGUGCACAAUGGGCGGAAGCCUGAUGCAGCAACGCCGCGUGCGGGAUGACGGCCUUCGGGUUGUAAACCGCUUUCGCCUGUGACGAAGCGUGAGUGACGGUAAUGGGUAAAGAAGCACCGGCUAACUACGUG